This 1211-nucleotide ribosomal RNA is filed under the name metagenome. Its description in RNAcentral is "bacterial LSU rRNA". It matches the Rfam family "Bacterial large subunit ribosomal RNA", at positions 1635 to 2838 of the family's 2925-position model. The record is from RNAcentral.
UAUACGACCGUACCGCAAACCGACACUGGUGCGCGAGAUGAGUAUUCUAAGGCGCUUGAGAGAACUCAGGAGAAGGAACUCGGCAAAUUGACACCGUAACUUCGGAAGAAGGUGUGCCCUAUUAGUGUGUAGUGAUCAACGAAGCAUGAAUGGGUUGCAAAAAAUCGGUGGCUGCGACUGUUUAUUAAAAACACAGCACUCUGCAAACACGAAAGUGGACGUAUAGGGUGUGACGCCUGCCCGGUGCUGGAAGAUUAAAUGAUGGGGUGCAAGCUCUUGAUUGAAGUCCCAGUAAACGGCGGCCGUAACAAUAACGGUCCUAAGGUAGCGAAAUUCCUUGUCGGGUAAGUUCCGACCUGCACGAAUGGCGUAACGAUGGCCACACUGUCUCCUCCUGAGACUCAGCGAAGUUGAAAUGUUUGUGAUGAUGCAAUCUCCCCGCGGAAAGACGGAAAGACCCCAUGAACCUUUACUGUAGCUUUGUAUUGGACUUUGAACAGAUCUGUGUAGGAUAGGUGGGAGGCUUUGAAGCAGGGUCGCUAGAUCUUGUGGAGCCAACGUUGAAAUACCACCCUGGUGUGUUUGAGGUUCUAACCUAGGUCCAUUAUCUGGAUCGGGGACAGUGCAUGGUAGGCAGUUUGACUGGGGCGGUCUCCUCCCAAAGCGUAACGGAGGAGCUCGAAGGUACGCUAGUUACGGUCGGACAUCGUGACGAUAGUGCAAUGGCAUAAGCGUGCUUAACUGCGAGACUGACAAGUCGAGCAGAUGCGAAAGCAGGACAUAGUGAUCCGGUGGUUCUGUAUGGAAGGGCCAUCGCUCAACGGAUAAAAGGUACUCUGGGGAUAACAGGCUGAUACCGCCCAAGAGUUCAUAUCGACGGCGGUGUUUGGCACCUCGAUGUCGGCUCAUCUCAUCCUGGGGCUGUAGCCGGUCCCAAGGGUAUGGCUGUUCGCCAUUUAAAGAGGUACGUGAGCUGGGUUUAAAACGUCGUGAGACAGUUUGGUCCCUAUCUUCCGUGGGCGCUGCAGAUUUGAGGAAGCCUGCUCCUAGUACGAGAGGACCGGAGUGGACACACCUCUGGUGUAUCGGUUGUCACGCCAGUGGCAUUGCCGAGUAGCUAAGUGUGGAAGAGAUAACCGCUGAAAGCAUCUAAGCGGGAAACUCGUUUCAAGAUGAGAUCUGCCGGGGCCUUGAGCCCCCUAAAGAGUCGU